UACGAAGGGUGCUAGCGUUGUUCGGAAUCACUGGGCGUAAAGGGUGCGUAGGCCGCACGGUAAGUCAGAGGUGAAAUCCCGGAGCUCAACUUCGGAAUUGCCUCCGAUACUGCCGUGCUUGAGGACUGGAGAGGAGAUUGGAAUUCACAGUGGAGCAGUGAAAUGCGUAGAUAUUGUGAGGAACACUAGUGGCGAAGGCGAACCUCUGGACAGUUCCUGACGCUGAGGCACGAAGGCCAGGGGAGCAAACGGG
RNAcentral lists this ribosomal RNA (253 nucleotides) under uncultured bacterium. RNAcentral's name for it is "partial 16S ribosomal RNA". It matches the Rfam family "Bacterial small subunit ribosomal RNA", at positions 524 to 776 of the family's 1533-position model. The record is from RNAcentral.